Long non-coding RNA from Scatophagus argus, 626 nucleotides. RefSeq lists it as uncharacterized. The transcript is spliced from 3 exons. Lineage: Eukaryota; Metazoa; Chordata; Actinopteri; Scatophagidae. The record is from RefSeq and is a predicted model, not a curated record.
GGACCCAAAAAACACCUACUCAGCAGCAGACAAUGGACAAUGAUGACCUCUUCUGGCUGGGUAAGACUAAUUAUGUUCAGGUGUGGGAUAUGGUGAAACACUGAACAACUUCAUCUGACAGCAACAACAACAACUAAAAUCGGCUACAGACUGAGAGAGGAGAACAGCACAGGCCAAAACGAGUCUGGCUCUUCCACUCAACACACACAGGAAGUGCUGACAGACGCCUCAGAGGAGAGAAGCCUGUGCUGCCUACUUUAUCCACUGAUGUCAGAAUAAUCAGCAGUAGCGGGGAGAAGAUCUACAGGGGGAGUUUGGCUGGGCUGCUCUGUCCAGCAGUGAAAAAGACUAGUUGUCCAAAAGUUGAACUCUGCCAAAUAUGUGGAUACCCACCAGGAAGACUAAAGGUAGGGAGAGGAGAGGAAUCAAAGACAAGAAGCAGCUGCAGGAGAUGAGACGGAGCACACAAAGAGAUGGGGCGACUGACUGAUAAGAUGCCGAUUUAUAGCUUGUAUUAAUGACUGUUUUGCUUUGACACACACAUUUUAUACAUAUUGUGGAUCAGAAAAAAAGAACUUUCAUGAGGCGAAUUUUAAAAUAACAGUGUGUCUGUCUAUUCAUUUUGA